RNAcentral lists this ribosomal RNA (301 nucleotides) under uncultured bacterium. RNAcentral describes it as "partial 16S ribosomal RNA". It matches the Rfam family "Bacterial small subunit ribosomal RNA", at positions 509 to 807 of the family's 1533-position model. The record is from RNAcentral.
CAGUAGCCGCGGGAAUACGAAGGGGGCUAGCGUUGCUCGGAAUGACUGGGCGUAAAGGGCGCGUAGGCGGAUGGCACAGUCAGAUGUGAAAUUCCCGGGCUUAACCUGGGGGCUGCAUUUGAUACGUGUUGUCUAGAGUGAGGAAGAGGGUUGUGGAAUUCCCAGUGUAGAGGUGAAAUUCGUAGAUAUUGGGAAGAACACCGGUGGCGAAGGCGGCAACCUGGUCCUUGACUGACGCUGAGGCGCGAAAGCGUGGGGAGCAAACAGGAUUAGAUACCCCAGUAGUCCCUGUCUCUUAUAC